AACGCACAUUGCGCCCCCUGGUACUCCGGGGGGCAUGCCUGUUCGAGCGUCAUUACACCACUCAAGCCUCGCUUGGUAUUGGGCGACGGGGGUCCCCCCGCGCCUCAAUGUUUCCGGCUGGUCGGUCCAAAUCUCAGCGUUGUGGCAAUCAAUUCGCUGGCGAGAUGGGGCGACCCGGCCGUUAAACCUCUCAUCACAGGUUGACCUCGGAUCAGGUAGGGUUACCCGCUGAACUUAA
This 238-nucleotide unclassified non-coding RNA is filed under the name uncultured fungus. RNAcentral describes it as "partial contains 5.8S ribosomal RNA, internal transcribed spacer 2, and large subunit ribosomal RNA". The stretch from base 1 to 52 matches the Rfam family "5.8S ribosomal RNA", at positions 103 to 154 of the family's 154-position model. Lineage: Eukaryota; Fungi. The record is from RNAcentral.